This is a long non-coding RNA of Cercocebus atys (sooty mangabey), 2962 nucleotides long. RefSeq lists it as uncharacterized. The transcript has 3 exons. NCBI's taxonomy places the organism in Eukaryota, Metazoa, Chordata, Mammalia, Primates, Cercopithecidae. The record is from RefSeq and is a predicted model, not a curated record.
UAUAACAGGAAAGAAUGCCAUAGAGACAGAUCACAGGAAGGAAAAGAGACAAAAUCUUCACAAAUGGGAGUGGAGACUUGCACUUGAAGAAAAAUGUUGCCUUUCUCAGACUUUGUUAGGUGAGAUUCAGUCUCUAACUUAGUGCUUCACUGUCUCUGUUCCUCACAGCAUGGGUUAAUCUGGUAUGAGAUACAAACCUAUUUCAAGGCAGGGACAAAUAUAGGCCUUCAAUUUUUUUUUUCUAAUUUGGUAUGGGUUAUCUAUAGAAGUGUAAAUGGUUCACAGCAAGAGACUGCUUUUCAGAGAAGUACACGUAAGAUACAGAAAUCUCUAGCUGUGUCUGUACCUUAACUUUGAAAAAGAGAAACUUUUAAAAGACCAUGUGCAAGAAAGGGUAAUGAGUGGAAAUGAAGAAAGACAAACCCAUCCUGCCCCACCUAGAGGACAAGUUACUGGUGUAACUUGCUGUUUUAAGGAAACAACAUAGGGAGAUCACAACUACCUCAAAAGAACUUUUCUGCAAACAAAUGAACAAUGAAGAAAAUGAAAGAGGGUAAUGGAACAGAAGAUGACAUUGGAUGAGAUGAGCCUCUGUGAAGAAAAGGAAAGAGUAACAGGCCAACGGGUAAGUUGGGGGCAGGUACAGCUGCAUAAGUUGGUGGAUGCAACAAGUGAGCAGAAAAUUGAGUGGUGAGAAGGAACCUACCAUGAAAAAUAAAUGUGAGGAGUAUGUAUUUCUGGCAGUGCAACUAAGAACUGGCAAGAUAAACUGCUGAGAUAAAGGUUCUAGAAAGGUGUGGUGCGUUCACAGCAUAAUGAACAGGAGGAGAGAGAGUUGUAAGAGGAAAACUCAGAGAGAUAAAAGUGAUGUACCAUGGGGAAAAGAUGGGUUUCAUUACUUUAGAUGGAGAGCGAUGGACAGGUUAGUAGCCUCUCAAUAAGAAGGCCUGAUUUACAAUUUUAUAGGACCAUUCCGGUUACCAAGUGGAAGGUGGUGUGAAGGGGUAUUGUGAGAAAAGCAGAAUGGCCUAGGGGCUCAGACAGGAGGUGCAAGCAGACAUGGGCCAAAGCCAUCAGAUUCAUAGCACAUUUGCAAGACACAGAUGAAAACUUGCUGCUGGACGAGAUGCAGGGUGUGAGUAGAUUAUCGAGGAAAAUGCUCUUCCAAAAGAAGUAAGCGAUAUAAAUGACGGAAGAUAUUACAAAACCCAACCCAAACUUAUUGCCAGUAUCAGAACUAACAAUUCUAACUUGAAUGAUUAUCCAUCCCCCUACCCUCUACAAGGAGUCAUUCAUGAGAGACCAUGAGUCUAAAACAUCACUAUUGAAUAGGAAAAAGCCUGAGCUCUUUCUCAAAAAGGGUACGUAUCCCAGACAUGUUUCAUAUCCUGCUUUGCUAAAAUUGCCUCUUUGUUUAAAAUUAUAAAAUCAUGUUUUGAACAAAUAAAAUUGAAAAUUCAUAUGCAAUAACUCUAUUGACAUGGGAAAAUAAAGUGUUUGUGUGAACAUGAUUCACUCACACUGCCUCUUCAGAUACGAACAAAUCAUUUUGUAGCAUUGGUUUAAUUCCAUCUUUCUCUCCAUAUUGUAAAGAUUAUCUUUCCAACUUCACUUCAGAAUAAUGGUUUGUUAUUAUUGUAAAUUGUAGCUCUUCUCCCCUUUUUUCUUAGUCAUUAUAUAGUAGCUGAUUAUCUCACUUUCUGCAGGGGUUGAGGUCCCCAUUUUUAUUUCCAAUUUGUGAUUUCCAGCUCCGUAUUUUAUAAUAUUAUAUUUUGUGCACUUGGCUAUUGCAAAAUGAUUUCCUAUUGUCUCUUUCGGGGGCAUAGAUUUGUAGCAAUUUAGCCUUUUUUAUCCGUUCUUCCCAGAAGGCAGUUUGCUGACAUUUAUGGAGUUUGAACUGUUACAGAGAGUGAGAUGUGCUUUGCAUAAGGACAUUUCUAUCAUUGUUCUUGAAGUUAAUGCUAUGUGGGCUCCAGUGGCCAUGCUUAAAUGGAGUGUGAGGUAUGAAUCAUUUCAUUUUGAUUUUUUCAGUGUAUCAGAAAAGGACAAGGAUAUAUUGCUAUGCUGCUGAUGGUACCAGAAAUUCUUAUCUGAUGAUGAUGAUGAUGAUGAUGAUGAUGAUGAUGAUAAUGUCCUAAUUAUGUUCUGCGUUCAGAGACAGGGGAAGCUUUUGGGUGACUAUCAUUAAUUUUCUAGCACUGGCAGAGACUAUCAAAUGGAAUAAGGAAGGGCAGCCUCAGAGGAAGGAAGUAAGGCCCUCCUGUAAUCAUAUGAGGUUGUCAGGAAUGAAUCACCCCUCUAACUCUUAUACUGAGCCUCUCGAUAGGGGCUAUGAGAUAUAUAGAGGUACUCAAUGUCUACUCUGUCAUUCUCCUUCCUCCCUGACAAACUGCUUUCCCAAAUACCAGAUAGGAAAAGGUCCAAAAACAGCAGCAAGAUUCAGGACUAUUGUUGCACAGGAAAUGUGGUUCUUGGAUCGAUAGAAAUAUCUGGAGACUCUGAAAAAGGCCAAGUGCUUUACUUCUGAUUGUUGAUGCUUGCGAGCAAACUGUGUGCAGUCCUUUUGAAGUCAACAGUUUAUCAGGGCAUUGCAGAUACACACUUCUUGGGCCUUUGCGUAUACACUCAUUGAGAGGCCAUUUGAUGUUAUAUCCUUGUCUUCUCUAGAGAAACGUAUUACAGAGAUGUCGAUUUGGGUAGUGUUUUUAUAAUUUUGCAAAUGAAUUAUUGCACAUUGCAUCUACUGUUACUCAUAAAAGCCCAUACAAUAUUCCUUGAAUUUUAAUUCGAGAAAUAGCAGGAGAUCAGGGGAAGAAAAAGAUUCACCCCUAGGAAUAAAUAUGUAUGUUUUCUCUUCUCAGCAAAAAGUAUACCUAUGUAGGUAAAUAAUGAAGAGAGAAUUACACACCUUUUAAGAGUCAUGUUUUUGUUGGUGGUGGUAGUGGUGGUUUUGAACAGAGUC